AUUGAACGCUGGCGGCAUGCCUUACACAUGCAAGUCGAACGGCAGCACGGGAGCAAUCCUGGUGGCGAGUGGCGAACGGGUGAGUAAUAUAUCGGAACGUGCCCGGUCGUGGGGGAUAACGUAGCGAAAGCUACGCUAAUACCGCAUACGAUCUACGGAUGAAAGCGGGGGGAUCGCAAGACCUCGCGCGAUUGGAGCGGCCGAUAUCAGAUUAGGUAGUUGGUGAGGUAAAGGCUCACCAAGCCGACGAUCUGUAGCUGGUCUGAGAGGACGACCAGCCACACUGGGACUGAGACACGGCCCAGACUCCUACGGGAGGCAGCAGUGGGGAAUUUUGGACAAUGGGCGCAAGCCUGAUCCAGCAAUGCCGCGUGCAGGAUGAAGG
This 385-nucleotide ribosomal RNA is filed under the name uncultured bacterium. RNAcentral describes it as "bacterial SSU rRNA". It matches the Rfam family "Bacterial small subunit ribosomal RNA", at positions 29 to 414 of the family's 1533-position model. The record is from RNAcentral.